CGUCUGUCGGUCGGAACGUCUGUCGGUGUGUGUGUCCCGGUCGGAUCGUCUGUCGGUGUGUGUGUCCCGGUCGGAUCGUCUGUCGGUGUGUGUGUUGGGGGAUCUGUAGGGAGUUGGAAAGGGCAGGGGGCACGCCACAGCAACGUGCUCUCCUGAUUGGUUGAGCUGUAGAGUGGGGGCGGAGUGAGAGAAUAGGAAGUAGGCGGAGCCUAGCAGGGAGCCAGAGGCGAGGAGGAGGAGGAAGCGCCGCAGGUGGCGACGGACAUGCACCGCUAACGACAUCACUACCUGGAGGGUCGCGAUGUAUACAUGUGUAUGUCAGGGUGUGUGUGUCGAUGGGUGUGUGUGUGUGUCAAGGUGUGUGUGUGUGUGUGUGUGUGUGUGUGUGUGUGUGUGUGUGUGUGUGUGUGUGUGUGUGUGUGUGUGUGUAUGUCAAGGUGUGUGUGUGUCAGGGUGUGUGUGUGUGUAUGUCAAGGUGUAUGUGUGUCAGGGUGUGUGUGUGUGUGUGUGUGUGUGUCAGGGUCUGUCUGUGUCAGGGUGUGUGUGUGUCAAGGUGUGUGUGUGUCAAGGUGUGUGUGUGUCAGGGUGUGUGUGUGUCAAUGUGUGUGUGUGUCAGGGUGUGUGUGUGUGUCAGGGUGUGUGUGUGUGUAUGUCAGGGUGUAUGUGUGUCAGGGUGUGUAUGUGUGUGUCUCUAUGAAGGGUUUCUAACAUGGAUGUGGUGGGGAACACUAAGGUCUGUCAUGUCACCAUGGUGAGGGUCACAGAGGGUCAGGAAGGUCAGCCUGACAUAGUGGAACUCUCUCUACACCAAUCACAACGCAGGACACACGGGGGGAGGCGACGUUUUCAGGACAGCUCCUGGACCUGUAGAGCAAGGAGACAACAUGAGGUUAGACACACGGGGGGAGACGACAGGACAGCUCC
Long non-coding RNA from Oncorhynchus tshawytscha (Chinook salmon), 924 nucleotides. The record is from Ensembl. NCBI's taxonomy places the organism in Eukaryota, Metazoa, Chordata, Actinopteri, Salmoniformes, Salmonidae.